CCUACGGGAGGCAGCAGUGGGGAAUAUUGGACAAUGGGCGAAAGCCUGAUCCAGCCAUGCCGCGUGUGUGAAGAAGGCCUUCGGGUUGUAAGGCACUUUCAGUGGGGAAGAAAGCCUUGGGGCUAAUACCCUCGAGGAAGGACAUCACCCACAGAAGAAGCACCGGCUAACUCCGUGCCAGCAGCCGCGGUAAUACGGAGGGUGCGAGCGUUAAUCGGAAUUACUGGGCGGAAAGCGCGCGUAGGCGGUCUGAUAAGCCGGUUGUGAAAGCCCCGGGCUCAACCUGGGAACGGCAUCCGGAACUGUCAGGCUAGAGUGCAGGAGAGGAAGGUAGAAUUCCCGGUGUAGCGGUGAAAUGCGUAGAGAUCGGGAGGAAUACCAGUGGCGAAGGCGGCCUUCCGGACUGACACUGACGCUGAGGUGCGAAAGCGUGGGUAGCAAACAGGAUUAGAUACCCCUGUAGUC
Molecule: ribosomal RNA, 465 nt
Filed under: Vreelandella stevensii
Lineage: Bacteria; Pseudomonadati; Pseudomonadota; Gammaproteobacteria; Oceanospirillales; Halomonadaceae
Description: partial 16S ribosomal RNA
Rfam family: Bacterial small subunit ribosomal RNA
Source: RNAcentral